Molecule: unclassified non-coding RNA, 213 nt
Filed under: Physcomitrium patens
Lineage: Eukaryota; Viridiplantae; Streptophyta; Bryopsida; Funariales; Funariaceae
Description: Physcomitrella patens TAS3a
Source: RNAcentral
AGAAGACAAGGGCUCCCUCCUAGGGGGCGAAAAUAGGUGAGCUGGGGUCACCUUGUUAGCGGGGUGUUAAGCAUUUGAAUGCAACACUCCUACGCAAGACCCUAGCUAUGGCUCCAUAGGGUGUGAUGAGUGCUUCAUCCGGUGCUCUUCUACUGCCUUGCCCACCUACCCUUGUGAUAUGGGCCGCGCGUGUCUGCGUGUCUCCUGUAUCGG